Peromyscus californicus insignis is the source of this 7492-nucleotide long non-coding RNA. RefSeq lists it as uncharacterized. The transcript has 4 exons. The record is from RefSeq and is a predicted model, not a curated record. Lineage: Eukaryota; Metazoa; Chordata; Mammalia; Rodentia; Cricetidae.
CGCUCUGCGCCCCCGCCGCCCCCCACGCCGCGCCCGCCGCACCCGUGCGAGGCCGGGCCGCGGGGAUACCUCUCUGCCUCUCUGAGAGGACCCGGCGGGCGGGGGCACCAGGCUUCCGCCGCCACCUCCGAGGCCCGCGCCCCGCGCCCCCCAGCGCACGCCCGUCCGCGGCCGUGCAGCCGAGCCCCGCCGAGCAACCGAACCGAGCCGCUCAGCCGAGCCCAGACGAGCAGCCGAGCACCUUCGAGUGCCGCCGAGCCCGAGCCGAGCCCGAGCGAGCGCCACCGGCCGCAGCUACCGUGACAAGUGGUGCUUAUAGCUGUCAAUCAGAGGCAUGGCCCAAUCAGCGCCGCCCGCCUGGACCGCCCCGCCAUUCUCCAAGAGCGCACUGGGCCGCUGGGCCGGGAAAGGCGAGAUUGGGGUGUUGGUGGGGUGGGGGUGAAGUGGAGGCCACGCCAGGACUGGGAGCCACCGGACCGUGCUCUAUCUGCUGGGGGUCUUGUCAUUAAAAGGAAUGCCGGGGCGGUGCAGGCAGCAGGCCUCUGGGAGAAGUCCAUGUGGCCGCCUUGGUCUAGGGGUUUCUUCUUGCACCCCUGGGUUUUGGGAGGAGUUUUCCGCCCCUCGCGAGAGUUUUGUAUAUAAAACUGGGCCGUUGUACCAUGGAAGGGUGCUGCAGGCGGGUUUGGAGUGCUGGUUACCAGGCACAGGUGAUCCCUGCAGGGUGGGGAUGUUAAGUGCUGGCGAGGAUACUGCAUGCGAGCCGGGUUCUGCAGACGGGGUGGAGAUGCUGCUUUUAGGUUGGGGUUCUGCAUACAGCGUGGGUGCUAUGUGUAGGCUAGAGCUCUGAACGCAGGUAGUGUUCUGCAUAUGAGGCGUAAUGCUUCAUGCGGAGCGAGAGAGCUGUGCACUGCAGUACCCAGAGUGCCCUGGAUGUCUUUCUCCACCUGCUGUUUCUGUUCCCGUGAGAAAGGGACAGCAUUUUCGCGGUAUGCCAGUAGACACCAGUAUACUAGGAUCCAUGAAUUCUAGCUGAGGCACUCUGCAGCAGGGCCCUCGUGCCUCCAAGACCUUAGCUGCAGACCUUUCUAUAUUUAAGAUAAGCCAUGAGUCAAUGGGUUUCAUGGUUUCCUGAGAAGCCUCUGAAAAGUGUAUGGCCUUAAGGCGAGUAGUGGAGGCAAUCAGACCUACAGGGACCCUCCUUUUCUUGCAUGAAACCCUUGUAUUUUCUUAAGAUAUGCUGUGGGAGGUGGUGGAAAAGAAGAGAUGGGGGCCAGGCUCAGAACUUUACAGAUGUGGGUUAUACUUCCUGUGUACCUCAAUGGAAGCUGCAUUAGCCAACAAUGUUCCAGGUCAACAAGGUAUGAAAUGUCACCUUCUCCUUCAGCCACCUGCUUGCCCUUGCCCACCCUAAGUGUCACAGUGUGAACUUACAGAGGGGCCCACUUUUUCCAGCACUACCCAGGAAGACCAAUGGAGAGUGAGGACAUUGUGGCCUGUUCAUAUUUCCAAUGUAAGAAAGAACCAACCCUCAGAACAGCUUUCUCUUCAAAGAGCUGGCCUGAUCUUUGGAAGUGGUAGAUUUAGGGCCACUGGGUACUAAGUGUUGUUCUGGAAUGAGCAGCACUGGCCUGCUAAUGGGGACACACAGGCAAUCACAGAGGGUGAGCCUCAGGCUGAUGCUGGCACCACUAGGGGCAGUGGUGAUUUUUCAGCAACACCUGAGAGUAUUUGGGACCUUGGAGUAGAGUAUUCACCCGGAUUUGGCCAGAGGUGAGCAGUAGAAGUAGAACAUGGGCAGGUGAGUGGGAGGGCCAAUGAUCCACAUAAGAAAAGAAAGAUGAUGCCAGGUCCCUGUCUACUGGGGCCCCUCUGGUCACCUGGCCUCCCUGUCUACAUUCCUACCUUUCCAGGGGCCUUAGCAGCAUUUGGUCUGUAGCUAUCUUCAUCUGGUCCCCAAAACUUUUAUCUUCAAGACUGCUUCUCCCUACUUGCAGUCUACCCUCUCUCUGCCUCUUGGUCUCUUUCCCUCUCUCUAGCUGCCCGUUUUUGUGUGUGCAUCUAGCCAACACCAAUCAACAAGCUCUCCAGGGUCAGGUGUAGAGGCUCUUCUCUUGGAUGUGCCCUCCAGGAGCAGCUGUGUCCCUGCGGUACCUACAGCUUUGAAGCCCAAGCAAGCCACAAAGAAUUGAUGAAGAGCGAAACUGUGUCCAAGGCAAUUGAGCAAACACUCUGUAUAGAGUCAUCCCAGCCCACUAGUAACAGCUGAAGGAAGACAGAACGAGUUUAGAGAUGUACAUCAAGGCUUCUCCCACCUCACAUGCCUCCAAAGCAUUCCUCGGCUUCCAGGGAAGAGCAUGAGAGUCAUGGUGAACGCUGAUAAUUAAAGUCAACAUCUCAGCACAUUGAGUCAAUUUCUUGAAAAAAAAAUUUCAAUACCAGGAACCUCCAAUACUAUGGUCCUCUCUUGGUCCUGACCUGACCAUUUUCCAAGUGAUGCAGGAGGGUAAGGAGCUGCCUAUGGUUGUCAUGGCUACAGAGUGUGCAUUGUACUGCCCCAUGUUUGUUCAUACAUCGAGGAAUGUGAAUCCUGUUUCACCCCAGCAAUGUGAUCCUUGGGCCUCCAACUCCUGCUGUGAAGAAGCCACAGGGCCCUGCCUUCCUGACCCCUUCCUCAAGGUCCAGGGUGGGAACCAAGUUGGGCUGUGACUGUAGCCCCACAGCAGCUCUGAGGCUAGGUGUACCUCAGAUGUCAAGCCUUUUGUGAUUGGGUAUAGUAGUGAGGUCUCAUGUAGAAACUUACAGUCCUCCCUCUCAGGUCAGGGCCUCUCCAAAGAGACUGUAGUCCAGGCAGUUAGAAGGGUUAUAAGGUUAUAAGGGCCUUAGAAGACCCCCUUUCAAAGGGCAGCUGUGAGCAUACUCGGGGAGGGUAUCAAUGACCCUGCGGUUCUCCAGGGCUUGAACUUUCCUCUCCACCCUUGUCCACCCUCUGCUCAGUAGUCAUUGUCCCCCACUUCUUCAGUGGUAUCAUUCAGGGAUGAUGGCAGCAGCGAAGCAGCUGAAGGUCUCCCACAUCCUUUGGGGUCCAGCCUUACCACCCUCAUCUUGAGAACAAAGGCCAGGGACUUACUUGCUCAUUGUUGAGGCCACCGUCCCUCCUUGUCCUCCUUAGCCCUGACCCUCUGGGAAGCCUGGGAUCUGCACAGUACCUCCUUGUAUUCAGAGUUCCCUGCCCCUAUAGAUCCCAUAAUCACCACUUGAUCUCUCCCCUUCUCUCUCUGAGUCCCCUACUCUCUGAGCCUUUCCCUAACAUAUACCAGUGUUAGGGUGAAUGCCAAACACACCCUGAGCACCUCCUGAGCAACUGUGUCUAGGACCUUCGCAAAGCCAGGGCCCAGACCCAGGACCGUGGAGGAAUGCUGUUCCCUGGCUUCCCCUAAGGCCCCAUCACAGAACCAGCACCUUCUCCCCUGGAUAGGCACCAGUGCUGGCCAUGACCAGCAGACCUGCCUGGCUAGUGCAGCGCACACAGAGUGAUCACGAAUUUGCACCUGACAGACCUUUGUGCUCUCGUGGCUAUAAGGAGAACAGGUCUCAGGUGGCUUCUCCAGCUGUAGCGCAGGAACAGAGGGACUCUAAACUACACCCUGGAGUCACAGUACUGAGCCACAGUCCAACUGUCCUGCACACCUGCUUCCACUGUAUACAUGCUUGUACUGCCAAGCCUGAGGUUGUCGUUGGCUGAGCCACACUUUGUCUCUGGUGACAGACUAGGGCUCCUGCCACCCCUCCAACCCCAACCUGGUGACCCCAGGCCACAGGCCAGACAAGCACCCAGUGCUCCUUGGCAGCUCUGCCCAUUUCUAUUUCCUACAGCCCAGUUCCCCUCCCGACAGGUCUUUCAGCCCCAAUGUCUAGAAGCAUCAAAAAAGCAACUGACCUGCCUAUGACAAAGACAAAGAGCAGAGCGGAAGGAAAAUUGAGAGCAUUUUAUUUUCAUUAAAACAUAUCGGAUACUAAGAAUGGUGUUUUCCUAAUCACAGCGCUGGGCUGGAAGCCAGGGCAUCUCUGCUGACGUCAGCUGUGUGUGGAGGCAGGCAGGGCCCAACCCACUAUUGGUUGAGAGCUCUCAGAAGUUGCUGGGAGCCGACACUUUCAGUGGCCGCUCCAUUUCCCUGUGAAGCUAGCACGGCCUAGGGUUUGGAGGGUUCAUCCCCCACCUGUGACUGAUGCUGUGACUCCUCUUGAUUGUAGAUUUCUACGUAGCUUGCUAUCCCCCCAUAGUUGAGAGCGGCAGACACUGCUGCGUAUAGUGCCUGCCAGUGACUAGUCAGAGGGGUCCAGGACUACAGCAAGGAGCAGACAUGGGAACAGAGGGCCCCAGCUACCCAUCAUGUGGCUAUAGCCAAGGGCUCCUGGAGCCACAGGAUUCCUGAGCUCCUGGUAGAAUCCCAGGAGACGGAUGUUACUGGCAUCCCACCUCCUCACCCUGCAGAUUCUGUCUCUUGGCAAAAAGCCUGUUGGGGAGGCUGGGCCUAGGGUAUAGCAGCCACUUCACUCCUGUCCUUCCUUGGCUGUGAGACUUGGCCCCUCAUGCCUAUUGGUACCUCAGUUUGCAUAAAAUAGAUGAAUUCACAAGACUCCUCCUCAAGGUUGUGGGGUGUGUAGUGCCAAGGCAAGGAUGUAGAAUGUGAGCUAGGCAACUGUUCUCAUUCGAAAAGAUCCAAAAACAACCACACACACACACACACACACACACACACACACACACACACACACACACACACACACAAAAGACUCUCUUGCUCCAUCCCUGAGCCUGAAAAACAAUCUUUCUUAAAAUCAGAAUCUGGUUUCCUGGACAGCAAGACAGGUCCCAUAAUCAGGAUGAAGUAUGAUUCAGAAUCUCAGUCCUAACUGGCUAGACUGUCCCACCACAGGGGACCUGGAGUGAGGUGUUAUGGAGGACACUGUGGCAGGAAGCAGCCAAUGACUCUUUGUGAGUGGGUGUCCUCAACAACUAGUAGGCCAUGCUGUGAAACAGAUCUCCCAAACAGUGGCACAAAACAACUGUUUGUAACACUCAAGGGUAUGAAAAUCCAACCUAGCAGGCCCAAGCUGGGAGACAAAAGGCUGAGUCUGGAAUCUUCCAGUCACAGGAAAGUGUUUUCGAAUGUUGCACUUUUUUUCUUAAUCAUUUGGCUGGGGUCCUUAUGGAUAGAAAUCGAUGGGCAGGUAAGGAAAAGCUCUUCUAAGUCCCUGGCUCCUGAGUGUCCAAGACCUAGGGUGGGAGGACAAUACCCAAGCUUAUAACUCGAGCCCUGAGAUCUGAGGGUGUACUGUUCCAAGCUUUGGAAACUAGAGACUUAGGGUUCUCUACACAGCCUUAUUACUCUGCACCUUACCCUUCAGUGACCUCAGCACUUGGCAGCUGUGAAAUCCCAAGCUUCCAGCAGUAAUGAGUGUCAGCAGUGGGCUGAGGAGGCAGGAGACCUAAUGUUAACCUUCCUAAAUGGCCUGCAGGUAACCCCAAGCUGUUUCAGUGACUGAUGUUACAGAUGUCAGUCCCAAAAUGUCAGCUCCUUCACCCUUGAUUGCAGCUGGAGUUACAGCUGUCAGACCAAGGGGGUCUGAGGCCCUUGACCCUACAGCUUAGCAGCUCCCUGGAACUUUUUUUCUGGCAAGACUGUAGUUUCUUAUCUUUAGCAUCUGCCUGCCUGCCUGCCUUCUUUCCUUCUUUCCUUUCUUCCUUCCUUCUUUCCUUUCUUCCUUCCUUCUUUCCUUUCUUCCUUCCUUCCUUCCUUCUUUGUUUUGGAUUGGAUUAUUUUGUUUGUUUUCUGAGACAGGGUUUCUCUGUGUAGGCCUGGCUAUCCUGGAACUCUCUCUGUAGACCAGGCUGGCCUCAAACUCACAGAGAUCUACUUGCCUCUGCCUCCUGAGUGCUGGGAUUAAAGGCGUGUACCUCCACCGCCCGGCCUACCUUUCUUUUAAAAUAAGUUUUAGGGGCUGGAGAGAUGGCUCAGAAGUGAAGAGCACUUGCUGCUCUUACAGAGGACCUGGGUUCAUUUCCCAGCACCCACAUUGGGCAGUGCACAGCUGCCUGUAACUUCAGUUCUAGGGGACCUGAUGCACUCUUCUGGCCUCCAUGGAAACCUGCUGCACACUAGGCACAAACUUACAUUCACGCAUACACACAUAUACAUAAAAGAAUAACAUAAACCUUUAGCCAGGCACACUUUUAAUCCCAUCAUUUGGGAGGCAGAGGCAGGCAAAUCUCUGUGAGUUCAAGGCCAGCAGGAUCUACAAAGUGAGGUCCAGGACAGCCAGGGCUGUUACACAGAGAAACCCUGUCCCCUGUCUCAAAAAACAACCGAGAGAGAGAGAGAGAGAGAGAGAGAGAGAGAGAGAGAGAGAGAGAGAGAGAAGGAGGAGGAGGAAGAAAGGAAGGAAGAAAGAAAGAAAGAGAGAAAGAGAAACCUUUAAAGAUUUUUACAUUUUUUGCAUGCGCGUGCUGGAGUGUGUGUGUCACAGCAUGCAUGUGGAAAUUAGAAGACAACUCUUAGGAGUCAGUUGCUCCUUCCACCACGUGGGUCCCAAGGAUCAAACCCAGGUUGUUAAGUUUGGCAACCUUUACCUGCUGAACCAACUCAGCUUAUGCUUUAUACGCUCCCCCCUUCUCUCCCUCCCUCCCUCCCUUCCUUCCUCCCUCCCUCCCUUCCUUCCUCCCUCCGCUUCCCCCCUUCACUUCUGCCAUGCCUUGUCUUUGCUGCCUCUGCCCCCCAUCAUUUGUUCUGCAGCCACUCUUUGGAACCCCUCAGCCACCUCGCUUCUGUCUGCCACCACCAUCACUCCCACUCCCAGGAUGACUGCUGCCACCAUUUCAAAUGGCACUGCCAUUUUACCCUCACGUUACCAGAAUCGCCAACUCCACCAAUGAUAAAGAUCAAAAGUUAGCAUGAAAAGUGUUCUCCAGUGACACAUUAUAUUAUGUCUGUGCUGGUUAGCUUUUGUCCCGUUGGCAUGGGCUAGGGGCAUCUAUGUCCUAGAUCCUAGGAAGAGCUAACAUCAAUUGAAGAAUUGCCUCCAUCCGAUUGGCAGAUUAGGUGAGUCUGUGGGGCAUUUCCUGGUUAAUGAUUGACGUGGGAAGGCCCAGAUCAUUGCAGGCGGUGCCACCCUCGUACAAGUGAUGCUGGGUUGUAUAAGAAAGCAAGCUGAGCAAGCCAUGGGGAGCAAGCCAGUAGGCAAUGUUCCUCCAUGGCCUCUGCUUCAGUUCCUGCCUCCAGAGUCCUGCCUUGAGUUCCUUCCCAGAUUCUCUCAACCAUGGAAUGUAGCCUGAAAAGGGAAAUAAACCUCUUUGUCCCCCAAGUUGCUUUUGGUCAUGUUUUUUAUCACAGCAAUAGAACGCACACUAGUGUGGUGCCUGAUGUUGCAAAACCAGGAGGCAGCGCUAGAGGAUGUCUCCUACCAGACUAGAGAAGCGAACCAAACAUCUGGC